RNAcentral lists this ribosomal RNA (521 nucleotides) under uncultured crenarchaeote. Its description in RNAcentral is "bacterial SSU rRNA". It matches the Rfam family "Archaeal small subunit ribosomal RNA", at positions 84 to 606 of the family's 1478-position model. Lineage: Archaea; Thermoproteati; Thermoproteota. The record is from RNAcentral.
UACGGCUCAGUAACGCGUACUCCUUUUAACCUAUGGACGGGAAUAACCUCGGGAAACUGAGAAUCCUGCCCGAUAGAACAUUAUGCCUGGAAUGGUUUAUGUUCCAAAUGAUUUAUCGCCGUAGGAUGGGACUGCGGCCUAUCAGUUUGUUGGUGAGGUAAUGGCCCACCAAGGCUAUUACAGGUACGGGCUCUGAGAGGAGUAGCCCGGAGAUGGGUACUGAGACACGGACCCAGGCCCUAUGGGGCGCAGCAGGCGAGAAAACUUUGCAAUGUGCGAAAGCACGACAAGGUUAAUCCGAGUGGUUUCUGCUAAAGAAACCUUUUGUCAGUCCUAGAAACACUGAUGAAUAAGGGGUGGGCAAGUUCUGGUGUCACCCGCCGCGAUAAAACCAGCACCUCAAGUGGUCAGGAUGAUUAUUGGGCCUAAAGCAUCCGUAGCCGGCUCUGUAAGUUUUCGGUUGAAUCUGUACGCUCAACGUACAGGCUGCCGGGAAUACUGCAGAGCUAGGGAGUGGGAGA